AUUUUUUUUUUCCAAAGGCUAAACACAAACCAGAAGGCAGCAGACGGCAGAGCGCUGGCUCCACUGUCCUUUCGGGACACGCUUGGAGACGCUCGUCUUUAUUUCUUCCCUCUUGUUUCACCCCAAGAAAAAAAAUCUUCCUUAAUUUUUAGGAGCUGCUACAAAUUUAUCCCAGGAAUCCCAAGGUGAUGCCACCCCACUGGCUUGGCCCUGGGGAAUUCCUCACGGUGCUGUUUGUUACAGACUUUUCCAGAGAAAACUUUUUCUUUCCGUGCAAUAAAUUUUCCACUUACAUUUUUAAGGGAAGAAAAUGUUUUCCGGUGCUUUUGCUGCCUCUCUGUCAGGAAUGAUUACUCCCAGAUUUAUUGGGAUUUGCAAAGGAGGCAGCGAUACCUGGGAUCUUCGAAACUUGCCGGGAUAAUGAUGCAGGCAGAGCUUGGCAGCCUCAGAUCUGAUUUAUGGAGCAAGAUUUCAUCCGUCCCGGAAAAAUCCUUGAAAAUCGCAGGAGAGCUCCUCGAAAUGCAGCAGGAAACGAAAGCGCCGAGCUCGGGUGGAUCCCGUCCCUCGGUUUGUUUUCUCGGGAUUGGAUUCCUGGAUUGUUGUUGAGAAUUUCGGGCAGGGUUUGACACCAAACGCUGCUCCAGAGGCAGCUCCGGCACCACGGCGGGAGCAGAGAGCUUCCAACAACGCGGAAAACGACAAAGGAAAAUUGAGAAAAAUUGAAUUUUUAAGAAAUUCGUUCUUUUCCUGGGGAAAAUUCCCUCCUUGGCAGUGCUGAGUGUCCGGCUGUUAUCGCUCCCUGCUUCAGCUUCGUACGGAAAACUGCAAAAUCAGAAUGUAUUUCUACAAAUUUGGGGUCCAUGCAGUUAUUUCCAUGUGAUUUCCACAUGCUCAUCCUCAUUUUCCUGUCAUCCAGACACGAAAUUCCAUGAUUUUAAUGUCUGUGUGCUGCUAAUAUGAAUUAACAUGGAAAUAUAUUAUUUUGGGGCAAAAUUAUGAUUAUAUUUGA
RNAcentral lists this long non-coding RNA (1009 nucleotides) under Parus major (Great Tit). RNAcentral describes it as "lncRNA (ENSPMJG00000011946.1)". The record is from RNAcentral. Lineage: Eukaryota; Metazoa; Chordata; Aves; Passeriformes; Paridae.